GACGAACGCUGGCGGCGUGCCUAAUACAUGCAAGUCGAACGAGAGCGACCGGUGCUUGCACUGGUCAAUCUAGUGGCGAACGGGUGAGUAACACGUGGGUAACCUGCCCAUCAGAGGGGGAUAACAUUCGGAAACGGAUGCUAAAACCGCAUAGGUCUUCGAACCGCAUGGUUUGAAGAGGAAAAGAGGCGCAAGCUUCUGCUGAUGGAUGGACCCGCGGUGCAUUAGCUAGUUGGUGAGGUAACGGCUCACCAAGGCCGUGAUGCAUAGCCGACCUGAGAGGGUGAUCGGCCACAUUGGGACUGAGAAACGGCCCAAACUCCUACGGGAGGCAGCAGUAGGGAAUCUUCCGCAAUGGACGCAAGUCUGACGGAGCAACGCCGCGUGAGUGAAGAAGGUUUUCGGAUCGUAAAACUCUGUUGUUAGAGAAGAAUAAGUGCUAGAGUAACUGUUAGCGCCUUGACGGUAGCUAACCAGAAAGCCACGGCUAACUACGUG
This 498-nucleotide ribosomal RNA is filed under the name uncultured bacterium. RNAcentral's name for it is "partial 16S ribosomal RNA". It matches the Rfam family "Bacterial small subunit ribosomal RNA", at positions 28 to 507 of the family's 1533-position model. The record is from RNAcentral.